UUAAGUUAUUAAGGGCGCACGGUGGAUGCCUUGGCACUAGAAGCCGAUGAAGGACGUUACUAACGACGAUAUGCUUUGGGGAGCUGUAAGUAAGCUUUGAUCCAGAGAUUUCCGAAUGGGGAAACCCAGCAUGAGUUAUGUCAUGUUAUCGAUAUGUGAAUACAUAGCAUAUCAGAAGGCACACCCGGAGAACUGAAACAUCUUAGUACCCGGAGGAAGAGAAAGAAAAUUCGAUUCCCUUAGUAGCGGCGAGCGAAACGGGAAGAGCCCAAACCAAAAAGCUUGCUUGUUGGGGUUGUAGGACACUCUAUACGGAGUUACAAAGGACGACAUUAGACGAAUCAUCUGGAAAGAUGAAUCAAAGAAGGUAAUAAUCCUGUAGUCGAAAAUGUUGUCUCUCUUGAGUGGAUCCUGAGUACGACGGAGCACGUGAAAUUCCGUCGGAAUCUGGGAGGACCAUCUCCUAAGGCUAAAUACUCUCUAGUGACCGAUAGUGAACCAGUACCGUGAGGGAAAGGUGAAAAGCACCCCGGAAGGGGAGUGAAAUAGAACCUGAAACCGUGUGCUUACAAGUAGUCAGAGCCCGUUAAUGGGUGAUGGCGUGCCUUUUGUAGAAUGAACCGGCGAGUUACGAUUUGAUGCAAGGUUAAGCAGUAAAUGUGGAGCCGUAGCGAAAGCGAGUCUGAAUAGGGCGUUUAGUAUUUGGUCGUAGACCCGAAACCAGGUGAUCUACCCUUGGUCAGGUUGAAGUUCAGGUAACACUGAAUGGAGGACCGAACCGACUUACGUUGAAAAGUGAGCGGAUGAACUGAGGGUAGCGGAGAAAUUCCAAUCGAACCUGGAGAUAGCUGGUUCUCUCCGAAAUAGCUUUAGGGCUAGCCUCAAGUGAUGAUUAUUGGAGGUAGAGCACUGUUUGGACGAGGGGCCCCUCUCGGGUUACCGAAUUCAGACAAACUCCGAAUGCCAAUUAAUUUAACUUGGGAGUCAGAACAUGGGUGAUAAGGUCCGUGUUCGAAAGGGAAACAGCCCAGACCACCAGCUAAGGUCCCAAAAUAUAUGUUAAGUGGAAAAGGAUGUGGCGUUGCCCAGACAACUAGGAUGUUGGCUUAGAAGCAGCCAUCAUUUAAAGAGUGCGUAAUAGCUCACUAGUCGAGUGACACUGCGCCGAAAAUGUACCGGGGCUAAACAUAUUACCGAAGCUGUGGAUUGUCCUUUGGACAAUGGUAGGAGAGCGUUCUAAGGGCGUUGAAGCAUGAUCGUAAGGACAUGUGGAGCGCUUAGAAGUGAGAAUGCCGGUGUGAGUAGCGAAAGACGGGUGAGAAUCCCGUCCACCGAUUGACUAAGGUUUCCAGAGGAAGGCUCGUCCGCUCUGGGUUAGUCGGGUCCUAAGCUGAGGCCGACAGGCGUAGGCGAUGGAUAACAGGUUGAUAUUCCUGUACCACCUAUAAUCGUUUUAAUCGAUGGGGGGACGCAGUAGGAUAGGCGAAGCGUGCGAUUGGAUUGCACGUCUAAGCAGUAAGGCUGAGUAUUAGGCAAAUCCGGUACUCGUUAAGGCUGAGCUGUGAUGGGGAGAAGACAUUGNGUCUUCGAGUCGUUGAUUUCACACUGCCGAGAAAAGCCUCUAGAUAGAAAAUAGGUGCCCGUACCGCAAACCGACACAGGUAGUCAAGAUGAGAAUUCUAAGGUGAGCGAGCGAACUCUCGUUAAGGAACUCGGCAAAAUGACCCCGUAACUUCGGGAGAAGGGGUGCUCUUUAGGGUUAACGCCCAGAAGAGCCGCAGUGAAUAGGCCCAAGCGACUGUUUAUCAAAAACACAGGUCUCUGCUAAACCGUAAGGUGAUGUAUAGGGGCUGACGCCUGCCCGGUGCUGGAAGGUUAAGAGGAGUGGUUAGCUUCUGCGAAGCUACGAAUCGAAGCCCCAGUAAACGGCGGCCGUAACUAUAACGGUCCUAAGGUAGCGAAAUUCCUUGUCGGGUAAGUUCCGACCCGCACGAAAGGCGUAACGAUUUGGGCACUGUCUCAACGAGAGACUCGGUGAAAUCAUAGUACCUGUGAAGAUGCAGGUUACCCGCGACAGGACGGAAAGACCCCGUGGAGCUUUACUGUAGCCUGAUAUUGAAAUUCGGCACAGCUUGUACAGGAUAGGUAGGAGCCUUUGAAACGUGAGCGCUAGCUUACGUGGAGGCGCUGGUGGGAUACUACCCUAGCUGUGUUGGCUUUCUAACCCGCACCACUUAUCGUGGUGGGAGACAGUGUCAGGCGGGCAGUUUGACUGGGGCGGUCGCCUCCUAAAAGGUAACGGAGGCGCUCAAAGGUUCCCUCAGAAUGGUUGGAAAUCAUUCAUAGAGUGUAAAGGCAUAAGGGAGCUUGACUGCGAGACCUACAAGUCGAGCAGGGUCGAAAGACGGACUUAGUGAUCCGGUGGUUCCGCAUGGAAGGGCCAUCGCUCAACGGAUAAAAGCUACCCCGGGGAUAACAGGCUUAUCUCCCCCAAGAGUUCACAUCGACGGGGAGGUUUGGCACCUCGAUGUCGGCUCAUCGCAUCCUGGGGCUGUAGUCGGUCCCAAGGGUUGGGCUGUUCGCCCAUUAAAGCGGUACGCGAGCUGGGUUCAGAACGUCGUGAGACAGUUCGGUCCCUAUCCGUCGUGGGCGUAGGAAAUUUGAGAGGAGCUGUCCUUAGUACGAGAGGACCGGGAUGGACAUACCUCUGGUGUACCAGUUGUCGUGCCAACGGCAUAGCUGGGUAGCUAUGUGUGGACGGGAUAAGUGCUGAAAGCAUCUAAGCAUGAAGCCCCCCUCAAGAUGAGAUUUCCCAACUUCGGUUAUAAGAUCCCUCAAAGAUGAUGAGGUUAAUAGGUUCGAGGUGGAAGCAUGGUGACAUGUGGAGCUGACGAAUACUAAUCGAUCGAAGACUUAAUCAA
This 2921-nucleotide ribosomal RNA is filed under the name Staphylococcus aureus. Its description in RNAcentral is "23S ribosomal RNA". It matches the Rfam family "Bacterial large subunit ribosomal RNA". The record is from RNAcentral. Lineage: Bacteria; Bacillati; Bacillota; Bacilli; Caryophanales; Staphylococcaceae.